GUGGGGAAUAUUGGACAAUGGGGGGAACCCUGAUCCAGCCAUGCCGCGUGUGUGAAGAAAGCCUUUUGGUUGUAAAGCACUUUAAGCGAGGAGGAGGCUACCGAGAUUAAUACUCUUGGAUAGUGGACGUUACUCGCAGAAUAAGCACCGGCUAACUCUGUGCCAGCAGCCGCGGUAAUACAGAGGGUGCAAGCGUUAAUCGGAUUUACUGGGCGUAAAGCGCGCGUAGGUGGCCAAUUAAGUCAAAUGUGAAAUCCCUGGGCUUAACUUGGGAAUUGCAUUCGAUACUGGUUGGCUAGAGUAUGGGAAAGGAUGGUAGAAUUCCAGGUGUAGCGGUGAAAUGCGUAGAGAUCUGGAGGAAUACCGAUGGCGAAGGCAGCCAUCUGGCCUAAUACUGACACUGAGGUGCGAAAGCAUGGGGAGCAAACAGGAUUAGAUACCCCGGUAGUCC
Molecule: ribosomal RNA, 451 nt
Filed under: uncultured bacterium
Lineage: Bacteria
Description: partial 16S ribosomal RNA
Rfam family: Bacterial small subunit ribosomal RNA
Source: RNAcentral